Molecule: long non-coding RNA, 1681 nt
Organism: Agrilus planipennis (emerald ash borer)
Lineage: Eukaryota; Metazoa; Arthropoda; Insecta; Coleoptera; Buprestidae
Exons: 3
Source: RefSeq, a predicted model, not a curated record
UCGUUUUUUCGUUUCAAGUUGUGCCUAUUAUCUGUGAAUGAAUAUCUUAGAAUAUUUACCGAAACAACCAGACGCGGAUCGUUACUUCGAUCUUAUUAGGUAGAUGUCAUCAGGGCGUCAUAGGCAGUCUCUUUAAAUUACUACUAACCAGUUUAAUUGGUAUUUGCCGUCACUGAAAUAUUUUUUCCGUAUUUUAAACAAAACCUUACUUAUGUAUCGACUUGCUUAACUCAAUCGAUGAAAGGCGCGUAAGCCAUAUUAAGAAGAAUGUUUAUUAAGUACUUGACGGUCUGACAAACAAGCACAUUUCUUUUCACGUAUUACCCGACAUAACCUACUCCUUUCCGUUCCCAAGAGUAUCUUUACUGCCUCUCUUUGCUCUAUUAAAGAAUUGUUUGCGAUCCCGGUACCUGACGUUACCGACCAUUCAUUCGACAGGCCGCGUUUUCGUAAGUCGGAGCAUCCUGAUGGAGUUUAAAUGUUCAGGAAUGAUGUAUUUUGCGCGGUAGAAGUUGUGCUAGUUAUCAGUCUGAUAGAGAAGUGCCUGACAUAUUAAUAGACAUUUAGGUAUGUUAAGUACGUAAUUUUAAAAUAAUGGGCGAUUUCCCGAAGCCGUCUCUUAAAGUGAGAUUGUCAACAUCAACAUGGAAUGAUUAAUGUUAAAUGACGACCAUACGUCAGCAGUGGAAUACGUCUCUGAUUAGUUGAUUCAUAUUUCCUCCCUUCUCUAAUAUAAACAUGAGGCAUCCAAUCAGGGACUUGUUCCACAGCCGCCAUCACAUUUUGAUCAUUUCAUUUUGAUAUAGGUACUCAUUUAGUUGUUUAAUUAAAACGUCAAUAAAUAAUGUGCAAUUGUGAAAAGACGUCAUCCGUCAUCAUUUAUAUGCUAAGACUUUUUAAAUUUAUACCUUCAAUCCUAUUAUACGCUUUGUUUGUUUGGUCUUACUGUGUUUAUGUGAUACAUUACCUAUGCAAUCAAUUGCCGCACAAGGAAACUUUCAUAACAUUUUUGGGUCUUCUGUUGUUCAUGACGAUUUGGUGUCUCGUUGCAACUCUUUUUACGAAACAUAGAAAUGUCCCUGCACAAUUCAGACCUUCUCCUCAAACUCAAAAAAAAAUCGCCGACUCUGACGAUGUUAACGAAAUAAACGAAUUGCUAGUCAAAUUUGUUGAAGUUAAUAAACUUCCAAUUUCGAUGCGCACCAGAGAUUGUAAAAUGCGUUAUUGUUUAAAAUGUGGACACAUAAAACCUGACAGAUGCCACCAUUGCUCCUCGUGCAACGCAUGUAGACUGAAAAUGGAUCAUCAUUGUCCAUGGAUAAAUAAAUGCAUUGCUUUCUCUAAUUAUAAAAAAUUCGUAAAUCUAUUAUUUUCUACUUCACUUUAUUGUGCCUUCCAUUUUGGUACCAGUUUGCCUUUUUUGAUUGACGAAUGGCAACGGGAAAAUUUAACGAAGCACUUACAUUUUAUUAUAGGUUGUAUCAUAAUGUGUUUCGCUUUUGCUGUUAUCGCAUCGUUUUUGUUCUUCCACUUAAGUAUAAUUUUCAAAAAUGUAACAACAUUGGAAGCAUUAUAUCCACCGAUAUUUUGUCCAGAAGAUUUAACAUUUAAUUUGGGAUGCCCCAAAAAUUCGAUAACAGUCUUUGGUUCUAAAUAUUUACUGUGGUGUCUCCCUUUGGAC